This 449-nucleotide ribosomal RNA is filed under the name uncultured bacterium. RNAcentral's name for it is "partial 16S ribosomal RNA". It matches the Rfam family "Bacterial small subunit ribosomal RNA", at positions 29 to 523 of the family's 1533-position model. The record is from RNAcentral.
AACGAACGCUGGCGGCAGGCUUAACACAUGCAAGUCGAACGCAUCCUUCGGGGUGAGUGGCAGACGGGUGAGUAACGCGAGGGAACGUGCCCUUCAGAUCGGGAUAACCCAGGGCAACUUGGGCUAAUACCGGAUACGUGCGAGAGCAGAAAGAUUUAUCGCUGAAGGAUCGGCCCGCGUCUGAUUAGCUAGUGGGUGUGGUAAUGGCGCACAAAGGCGACGAUCAGAAGCUGGUCGGAGAGGAUGAUCAGCCACAUUGGGACUGAGACACGGCCCAAACUCCUACGGGAGGCAGCAGUGGGGAAUAUUGGACAAUGGGCGCAAGCCUGAUCCAGCCAUGCCGCGUGAGUGAUGAAGGCCUUAGGGUUGUAAAGCUCUUUCGUCCGGGACGAUAAUGACGGUACCGGAAGAAGAAGCCCCGGCUAACUUCGUGCCAGCCGCCGCUGUAA